RNAcentral lists this ribosomal RNA (438 nucleotides) under uncultured bacterium. RNAcentral describes it as "bacterial SSU rRNA". It matches the Rfam family "Bacterial small subunit ribosomal RNA", at positions 954 to 1392 of the family's 1533-position model. The record is from RNAcentral.
GCACAACGCGAAGAACCUUACCUACUCUUGACAUCCAGAGAACUUGGCAGAGAUGCUUUGGUGCCUUCGGGAACUCUGAGACAGGUGCUGCAUGGCUGUCGUCAGCUCGUGUUGUGAAAUGUUGGGUUAAGUCCCGCAACGAGCGCAACCCUUAUCCUUUGUUGCCAGCGGUCCGGCCGGGAACUCAAAGGAGACUGCCAGUGAUAAACUGGAGGAAGGUGGGGAUGACGUCAAGUCAUCAUGGCCCUUACGAGUAGGGCUACACACGUGCUACAAUGGCGCAUACAAAGAGAAGCGACCUCGCGAGAGCAAGCGGACCUCAUAAAGUGCGUCGUAGUCCGGAUUGGAGUCUGCAACUCGACUCCAUGAAGUCGGAAUCGCUAGUAAUCGUGGAUCAGAAUGCCACGGUGAAUACGUUCCCGGGUCUUGUACACACCG